CUCAAUUCGGAUUGAAGUCUGCAACCCGACUUCAUGAAGCUGGAUUCGCUAGUAAUCGCGCAUCAGCCACGGCGCGGUGAAUACGUUCCCGGGCCUUGUACACACCGCCCGUCAAGCCAUGGGAGCCGGGGGUACCUGAAGUGCGUAACCGCAAGGAGCGCCCUAGGGUAAAACUGGUGACUGGGGCUAAGUCGUAACAAGGUAGC
Molecule: ribosomal RNA, 206 nt
Filed under: uncultured bacterium
Lineage: Bacteria
Description: partial 16S ribosomal RNA
Rfam family: Bacterial small subunit ribosomal RNA
Source: RNAcentral